RNAcentral lists this ribosomal RNA (972 nucleotides) under human gut metagenome. RNAcentral's name for it is "bacterial LSU rRNA". It matches the Rfam family "Bacterial large subunit ribosomal RNA", at positions 1950 to 2925 of the family's 2925-position model. The record is from RNAcentral.
CCUAAGGUAGCGAAAUUCCUUGUCGGGUAAGUUCCGACCCGCACGAAAGGCGUAAUGAUUUGGGCACUGUCUCAACAACACACCCGGUGAAAUUGAAAUACCAGUGAAGAUGCUGGUUACCUGCGCCAGGACGGAAAGACCCCAUGGAGCUUUACUCCAGUUUGAUACUGGGAUUCGGUACUGUCUGUACAGGAUAGGUGGGAGGCUAGGAAAUGGUGACGCCAGUUGCCAUGGAGCCAACCUUGGGAUACCACCCUUACAGUACUGGGUUUCUAACCUGCAGCCGUAACCCGGCUGGGGGACAAUGUCUGACGGGGAGUUUGACUGGGGCGGUCGCCUCCGAAAGAGUAUCGGAGGCGCUCAAAGGUUCCCUCAGAACGGUUGGAAACCGUUCGAAGAGUGCAAAGGCAGAAGGGAGCUUGACUGCGACACCGACGGGUGGAGCAGGUACGAAAGUAGGACUUAGUGAUCCGGUGGUAUAAAGUGGGAUUGCCAUCGCUCAACGGAUAAAAGCUACCCUGGGGAUAACAGGCUUAUCACUCCCAAGAGUUCACAUCGACGGAGUGGUUUGGCACCUCGAUGUCGGCUCAUCGCAUCCUGGAGCUGUAGCAGGUUCCAAGGGUUGGGCUGUUCGCCCAUUAAAGCGGUACGCGAGCUGGGUUCAGAACGUCGUGAGACAGUUCGGUCCCUAUCCGGCGUGGGCGUAGGAUAUUUGAGAGGAGCUGUCCUUAGUACGAGAGGACCGGGAUGGACAAACCUCUGGUGUAUCUGUUGUUUUACCAAAGGCAUGGCAGAGUAGCCAAGUUUGGCAGGGAUAAACGCUGAAGGCAUCUAAGCGUGAAGCCCCCCUCAAGAUAAGAUAUCCCAUCUUCGGAGUAAGACCCCUUGAAGACUACAAGGUUGAUAGGCUUCAGGUGUAAGUGUGGUAACGCACUCAGCUGAGAAGUACUAAUAGGUCGAGGACUUAUCCUU